UACGUAGGUGGCAAGCGUUGUCCGGAAUUACUGGGCGUAAAGAGCGCGCAGGCGGCUGGUCAAGUCCGAUGUGAAAGCUUCCGGCUUAACUGGGAAAUUGCAUCGGAAACUGAUCGGCUUGAAGGUGGGAGAGGGUAGUGGAAUUCCCGGUGUAGUGGUGAAAUGCGUAGAUAUCUGGAGGAACACCGGUGGCGAAGGCGGCAUCCUGGACCGGCAUUGACGCUGAGGAGCGAAAGCCAGGGGAGCAAACGGG
Molecule: ribosomal RNA, 253 nt
Filed under: uncultured bacterium
Lineage: Bacteria
Description: partial 16S ribosomal RNA
Rfam family: Bacterial small subunit ribosomal RNA
Source: RNAcentral